CAGUCUCCUCAGUUGCUAGGAUUACACUCAGCUGCUGAGAGUUUUUUUUUUUUUUAAUCAGUGUUGGAUUUUGUUAAAUGCUUUCUUUUUCUGCAUCUAUUGAUCUGAUCAUGUAAUUUUUCCUCUUUAGUCUGUUAAUGUGGUGGAUCAUUUUUUUAAAAAAAUUUAGUUGUAAAUGGACACAAUACCUUUAUUUUAUUUAUUUAUGUGGUGCUGAGGAUAGAACCCAGUGCCCCACACAUAUGAGGUAAGUUCUCUCCCACUGAGCCACAACCUUAGCCCUCAUCAAUUCGUUUUUGAAUGUUGAAACAGCCUUGAAUGUCUGGAAUGAAUCCCACUGGGUUAUGCUUUAUAAUUCUCUUUAAAUUGUUGGAUUCUGCUUGAUUAUAUUUUGUUGAGGACUUUGCAUGUAUUCAUGAGUGAUGGUGGUCCAGUUUUCAUGUAAUGUCUUUGACUAGUAUGGGGUAAUACUGGUCUCAUAGAAUAAGUUAGAAAGGAUCCUCAGAACUUCUAUCUUCUGGAAGAGAUUGGAGAAAAUUGGUAUAAUUAUUUCCUUAGUCUGUUUCAAAGAAUUCACCAGUGGAACCCAUUUUAGUAAUGUAGCUGGGUUUUUUGUUUGUUUGUGUUUGGUACCAGGGAUUAAACCCAGGGGCACUUAACCACUGAGCCAUAUCCCCAACCUGCUUUUUAUUUUGAGACAGGGUCUCAGUAGUUGCUCAGGGCCUCUCUAAAUUGCUGAGGCUGACUUUGAAUUUUUAAUCCUCCUGCCUCAGCCUCCGAGCUGCUGGGAUUACGC
Molecule: long non-coding RNA, 796 nt
Filed under: Marmota monax (woodchuck)
Lineage: Eukaryota; Metazoa; Chordata; Mammalia; Rodentia; Sciuridae
Source: RNAcentral